Molecule: long non-coding RNA, 731 nt
Filed under: Lathyrus oleraceus (garden pea)
Lineage: Eukaryota; Viridiplantae; Streptophyta; Magnoliopsida; Fabales; Fabaceae
Description: Pisum sativum (pea) long non-coding RNA (PSAT_LNC025530)
Source: RNAcentral
UAUGUUUAGUGAACUUUUGUUGAGAUUCAUAAGGAGAGUAUACAUUUGGAGUAGGUGGUGAAGUUAUGACGAAAUUCACAUGCUCAAAACUGAAAUAGGGUGGUUUUGACGGCGGUGCUUGGGGUGGACGUAAGACUCUGUGUGUUGAUUCUAGAGGAGGAGAGUCAGACCAAAUAAAAGGAGAUUAAAGCCUGACUUUUGUAGAUUGUGAUUUUGGUAGUGUCGUCAUUGAUUUCUUGCCAUUUACUACUUUUAUUGCUGCUUUCAUCCAUCGUAUGAGAAAUUGACUUUCGCCACUCGGUUGAAAAUUGAUUAGCCACUUUGAACAUAAUUGUGCCUUUUGGUUGUGCUCCAUCCGGAUAUGAUGAUUCCUUUAGGUCCUCCUUAAUAGGUUCAACGAUUAUUUCGAUAUUCCAAGUAAAAUUGUUGGUGAUGUCAAAAUUAAAAUCCGGUGGCUUUAGAGGAACCAUGAAAUCAACAUUGUGUGGUCAUUUUAGGGGAACAAAUAAAGAUUCCACAACAAAAUCCUAGUGGAAAGAAGUUUCUUCCAUAGGUUUCAUUGGUUCAAGAUCUGGCUCAAUUUUCUCAUCUAAAUCCUGAAAAAAGGUGUCUCCAUUCAAGUUUGAAGCGCCAAUGAAACACAUUUGUGAAUGUAUUCCAAGACAUCCAUGGAUGUUGUUGAGACCUCCAUAGCCACCAUUUGAGAGCACGACCUCUCAUUGCCAUUUCAU